AUCCAAAAGGUUGUAUUUGUAGUAGGUGCCCCUCAAAGCACAAAAUGAAGCCGCCGCCAUCGCAACUACAAAAUUGUUUGCAGCCUGUGAUACAAACACAAAUAAAAAUCUAGCCAGCCAGAUAAUAUAAUUUGUAUUAAACAACAGUGGCAACAAAUGCAACCCGUAAAUUAAGUGGCUCAAAACUGGCAACCCAACACAUGAGUAAAGCCGUGUUGAUCUGAAACGCAGUGCCUGAAGUAACAUGUAUUUAAAAAAGGCUUGUGUUCCGUUGGACAUGAAAAAUCUCAUAAUUCUCUAGCUGGACAAACAUAGCAAGAUGAUAAGGAAAAAACAGUGGAUCUGUGUUAUACCCUAACCCAGUCGCUCCAGCCCUGGGUACACCCAGUCUUAGUUCAAAUGGAUCUGUGUUAUACUAUCAUGCAUGUGAUUUAUGGGCACACCAAUCAUACACAUACGGCAUACAACCAUAAAUGAUAUGGUCAAACCAGUUCUGAACAUGCUAAUGCAACCAUAAAAAUGCCAUGGAGAAUAAGCAGCAGGCAAAAAAAGUUGAAUUCUAGUGAGCUGCAGAUUUAUAUCUUGUUUAUGGAUCAUCAAGUUAAACAAAGCAUCUGUAACUUUGUCAGGAGACUGUAAUUUUUCCCAGUGAAAUUUGUUGCAUGGGUUGGCUUUCACAUAUCUAAAAGGGAACCAAAAGCCCUGAACGUCAAAAUGCUUGCAAGUACUAGAGAGAUAAGACAUAUAAUACUACUCCCUCUGUUCCCAGAUAUAAGUCUUUCUUCAUGGAUGGUCUAGAACCAGAAAUUCACAACAUUUAACAUUGGCUAAAGGACAUGAUCAAAUUAGUGGUACACAAAUGUUCCAUUUCUAAAACCAAAACAAUGUUCAGCGGCCACCGCCAGCAAACCAGUAGGGUUGACCGGCAUGCUUUUUAUGGUUUGAUUGAUGUAGCAUCUUUCUUCUAAUUCAGAUUAUUAUAUUAACUCUGAAAUUGUGUUCCUGUCAUAUGUUACUUUCCUCCGUCUUGUUAUUGUUCGUCUCUCACCUGCCAUGGGAAACAUGGGGUUUUCUUUCUUGCUGAUUUGUCAGAAGAGCAACCUAAUUUAACUAAUGAUUAUUUGCGACAAAUUUGUCCGAGGAAAAAUGCAUUCUUAUGACUGAACUAUAUGAUCUCAGUUCACUAACCUGAAAAGGAUUUAACAAACAAAGUACUGAAUGCAUCAAUUACAGUUUGGACUUGAUAUUAUCAUAUACAGGUAGCAGAGGUAUGCUACUUCAUUUACUGCUUGCUAUAGCCAAAAGGCACUGCUAUAUGUACUUUCUAAUAAUAGAAAUAACCAGAAACCAAUACAAUAUUCAGAAUAUUAAUAAGCAGAGAUAACAUCAAAUAAUGUAUUGCCACCAUGAAGUUCAAGACAGGUUAUGUGUAUGACUAAACAUGGGACAUACCUCACCCCCUUCAACAGAUACAUUUCAUUUUGAAUGUACAACCCAUAGCAAUCACUGUCUUUUUCGGAAUAAUCUGUACAAGCCUAUUGAUAUUGUUGGCUUUGACAUUCACAAUCCAAAGAGCCACCAUAGGUGUGUCCCUCAGGCACCAUAAAAGGGUAUGUAGAAUAACAGCAACCAACAUCAUGUGAUCCGAGAUAAUGACAGUACAACUGAAGGUUUGAAGCCCCAUAUU
Molecule: long non-coding RNA, 1687 nt
Filed under: Triticum aestivum (bread wheat)
Lineage: Eukaryota; Viridiplantae; Streptophyta; Magnoliopsida; Poales; Poaceae
Description: long non-coding RNA (TAES_LNC027960)
Source: RNAcentral